RNAcentral lists this long non-coding RNA (1242 nucleotides) under Sarcophilus harrisii (Tasmanian devil). Its description in RNAcentral is "lncRNA (ENSSHAG00000004184.2)". Lineage: Eukaryota; Metazoa; Chordata; Mammalia; Dasyuromorphia; Dasyuridae. The record is from RNAcentral.
CCCAGCACCAAGAACAAGAUCUUACAUAAAAUGGGCACAUGUAGUUCUGCACCUAAUAAAUGUUUGUUGGGUUGGAUUGAAUUAUACUGAGUUGGAUUUGGUCGGAUAUAUGGUUAAAAACCCCCAGACUUACUUACUUACUUACCUUGAACCCUUUCACUUCACUUCUCUCAGCCUCAGUGGUCCUCCCUGUCUGCUCUGCUGGGAUAACAAUCAUUGCAGUGCCUACCUCAUAGGGCUGUUGUGAGGCAAUCAUUUUGCAAACCAUAAAUAUGAUCUCUAAGGAAGAUACACAUAAAUACUAUCUGAAUGCAAGGGGUCAGGAAGAACCUUUCUGAUGGGCUAUUCAGAAAGGUUUCAUGGGGGUAGUAUGAUCUAGGCCCUAAAAGAGCUUCUCACAAAGAGAGAAGUAGAAGAAAAGCCUUCAAGACAGCAUGAAUAGAAACACUGAGCCAGAAAAGAACAAAGUUAAUCCAUUUGUUCACUUCUCUCUUUAAAAGAAAAUGAGUGGGGACCAUGCAAGAUACCAGCCUCCUUUUGACUAUGGGCUACUGCUGGAGGAAGAAGCCCCGCUAUCCCGGAAGAGCUCAAGGAGGGGAUGGAUACUUGAAGACUUGGAGCAAGAGCUCACAGAACUAGGCAUUCCCUUAGGUAACCCACCAGGACUGGAUCCAAGUGGGCAAAGACGUGAUGUCGACUCUUUUCUACCACCUAUUUUUGCUCCCUGUUUUUGUGGAUGUGUCCUGAGAUCAAAGUCUGUGCUGAACUCCCGCCCCUCUUCAGCCACUUCCCGAGCCACCACCCCCGAAUCAGGACCUACCAUGGUCCAACCACCAACUAGGUUUGCAACUCCAUCGGGUUUUCACACAACAACCCAGACUGGAUCUCCAGCUCCUCCUUCUGGGAGGAGAUCUCAAGCUCCGAGAAACCCUCCACCCAUACGACAAUUAGUCCCACUGCCUGUUUGGCCCCAACCCUUUCAUUUUACCAUCCCUAAGACCAAUCCUCCAAGGGUUCACAACCCUCCUAUUGAAUGUCUAGGUUCCAGCUUUCCGAGGUGGAGAAAGAAAAAACAGUCCUCUUUGCCUUCUCCUUCUCCUAUCUUCAAUCCCCUUAAAAUAAAGUGUAGUAUUUGAUGCAACAAUGUUGUCUUUCUUUUGUGACUGAGAAGAGCAUAAUUGAAUUCAUCAUGUAUAGAAAUGAUUUAAAAAAAUAACACUUUAUGUGCGUCUAAUACUUGGU